AUUCCCAAGGAGUCUGAUGGUGAGCGUUUUGAAGAUGCUCUUGCUCGUGUGUGUCGUUGCGUUGGUGGCGGGACUGCAAUGGAUAACGAUGAUAGUGACAGUGAUUUGGAAGUUGUUGCAGAUUCUUUUACUGUCAAUCUGCGUUGUCCGGUAAAUCGUUUUUCUGAUAAACUUUUGUGAGACGAAAAUUGCGCACUUCGUUAUAGGAGUUUAUGAAGCCAGUAAAUUUAACACAAUUAUAUAAUGCAUUGUGGAAUGUUAUAUUUUGUAUGAAUUUUACUUUUGUGUAUGAGCUGAAUUAUAUGCAUUGCAAUUAAUCUCAACUCUUAGAUUCAAGAAUGUUUGAAUUGCCAACCAUACGAAUAACCAAGGGGUUCUCUUCUAACUUAUUUUUCAAAUUCUUAUAUUGAUUAUCAGGAGUCUGUCUCGAUAAUGCUUGUUAGGCUAAUUGUUUAGAGUGCUUCAUCAAGUUCCAAUGUUGUGAGUGCCUCUCCCUAGGGUUGUACCAAGGAUAAACAUCCCUCUACUGAUGGGACAGUCCAAUAUUAGCUGAUGCUGACCCUAAUUGUUCUAACACAAACAAUACUAUCAAUGUGGUUUAUAUUUUACUUUCAAUGUAGUAAUUCUGUAGUACAGGAUAUCAAUUGUCUAGAGAGGUUUUCUUAUGUCGAGGAACACCUUUCAUGCUUUUGUUCGUAUGUGCUAUUUGUUUCUGGGACUGAAUUGGGUAUGUUUAUGCAUGUAUUUGAUAGAUGAGUGGUUCAAGAAUGAAGGUUGCUGGGAGAUUCAAGCCCUGCCUUCACAUGGGCUGUUUUGAUCUUGAAGUGUUUGUGGAAAUGAAUCAACGGUCAAGGAAGGCAAGCUUCUACACAAAAUGAAAGAUGUGGUUGUUUUGUCCUUAUUUAUUUAUUAGUUUUAAAGCAUGCUUUGCUUUAUGAUUGCAGUGGCAAUGCCCCAUUUGUCUUAAGAACUAUGCACUGGAGAAUGUCAUUAUUGAUCCAUAUUUUAAUCGUAUCACGUCAAAGGUAAUGCCUUCUUAUGCACUACAGAAAAUUGUGUUUCAAAAGUAUCGUUUUAUUGAUCUAUUUUUUUUCUUGUUCUUUUCUGUUUUUUUUUCCUGGUCAUGGGUUGUUACAGAUGAGGUAUUGUGGAGAAGAUGUAGCAGAGAUUGAGGUGAAGCCUGAUGGUUCUUGGCGAGUGAAGACUAAAAGUGAAAGUGAUCGUAGGGAUCUUGGGGAACUUGGGUGGUGGUACCUUCCUGAUAGUACACUUGCCCCAACAGAUGAAGAAAUUAUCCCAAAAACUGAAGUUUUGAAGCAGGUCAAACAGGAAGGUGUUUCAGACGGUCAUACUGGUUUGAAACUAGGAAUGAGGAAGAAUCGCAAUGGUGUUUGGGAAUUCAGCAAACCUGAAGAUAUGAACACCUCUUCAGAUAAUAGAUUACAAGUGCCAUUUGGAGACCACGAGGUAAAAGUUAUCCCAAUGAGUAGCAGUGCCACCGGAAGUGGUAGGGAUGGUGAAGAUGCAAGUGUAAAUCAGGAUGGUGGUGGGAACUUUGAUUUCUCUACUAACAAUGGAAUUGAGAUGGAUUCCUUUUCUCUAAAUGUUGAUUCUGUGUAUGGAUUUUCUGGACAAAAUCCUUCUGCAACUGUAGGAGAUGCAGAAGUUAUUGUCCUAAGUGAUUCCGAUGAUGACAUAAUGCCCUCUGGAACCAUCUACAGGGGAGAGAGAAAUGAUACUGGUGGGAUUAAUUUUCCUGUGGCCCCUUCUGGAAUUGCUGAUUCAUAUGGUGAAGAUCCCACGCUUGGGACUGGUGGGAAUCCAUGCUUGGGUCUUUUUAAUGGCAACGAUGAUGAUUUUAUUCCGCUCUGGCCACCAUUAGCUCCCGGAACUCAAUCAGGCCCUGGAUUUCAAUUAUUUAGUUCCGAGGCAGAUGUACCAGAUACCCUAGUUGGUCUGCCUCAUGGUUCCAUCAAUUGUUCCACAUCUAUGAAUGGAUACACCUUGGCUUCAGAAACUGGCAUGGGAUCUGCUACCCUAGUACCUGAUUCUUCUGUUGGUCGUUCAGAUGCUGACAUGAAUGAUGGCUUAGUUGAUAAUCCAUUGGCUUUUGCUGGUGAUGAUCCCUCUCUUCAAAUAUUUCUUCCCACAAGACCAUCAGAUGCAUCAGUGCAUUCUGAUUUGAGAGAUCAGGCUGAUAUGUCAAAUGGUGUCCCUACUGAUGAUUGGAUUUCUCUGAGGCUUGGGGGUGAUGCCAGUGGCAUUAAUGGUGCGCCUGCAACUCCAAAUGGAUUAAAUUCGAGAAUGCAAAUGCCAUCCAGAGAUGGUGCCAUGGAUUCUUUGGCUGACACAGGUUCGUUCUCUUUCGACAGAAUUGCUACAAUGAGUUUUAGAUCGGUUCAUGAUUGGCAUUAAAGGUAGCUUGAUGGUUGUUUAUGCUAAUGGUUUAAUAUACAUCACCUCUGAUUUCAUUGUGAAGGUUUUGUUUGAGAACUGGUUUUACUCUAUUGGUGAUCAAAAUAUUUACCUUUUUACCUUUUAACUUGUACUGGAUAUGAAAAAAGGUUUGAGGGUGGGAGGAAAUGGGUUGUGUUUAUUUUUCCUUUUCUCCAGUUGCAACACCUUCAGUAUACAUAGUUCAGGCAGGUGCUAUUUCCACAUCCUUAUAUUGCUAUAGCCACAACAUCUUUAAUCAGGUUAUUGACUUUUCAACUAUUUCGCAAGUUUCUUAUAAGAAAGAGAGUAAUAUUUAUAACUUUAAUUCUACUAUUGAGAAACAAAAGUUGAUAGCAUAUGACAUUUGCUCCCAAUUAUCUCUUAGCCCUUACAUGGCUAAGCUUCUGCCUGUUUAAUUAGUAUCAUUAGUUUUUUCUCAAAUAGUGUUGAAUUCCGUGGCCAAGCCUCUAUAAAAAAAAAGUAAAUAUGUUAUUUUCUUAUUUAAAGCUUUUGAAGCUUAAAGUCUUUAAACCAAAGAAAUAGAUUAGAAAGGGAAAAAAACCAAUUUGGUUAUUUUUAAUAUUAAACAAACAAUAAAACACAUCAAGUUCCAGAAUAUUUGCAAGCCAGUGAUGAUAGUUUUGUGUAUAUUUUGAUUUAUUUCAAUUAGGUGGCCAAGCUUAAAUUGUUUAAUCUAGUUUAAGUCUCUCUAUAAAGUUUAAUGCUUCUAGAGUACCAUGCUAAUAGUUGAAGGUUUUAAGUAAAACUGAGUUGUAGAGUUCUCACCAUUUUCUAGUGGUUAGAAGUCUGGUUGACAUCUUCCUUUUCAUAAUUCAGUCGUGUGAUUGAAUGGGUAACCAGUUGAGUUCAACCCAGCAAAACUGUAUUGCACGCCUUAGCUCUGUCGUUGAGCACAAUUAGAAAUUGUUUUUUGUUUUUACUUAAUUAUUAGAUUGGUGUGAUGAUGUCACAAAUUUUUGAUUCAUGACCAUGGAAAAAGGUAGAAGGAACUAAAAGAGAAUAGAUUAUAAACAUGCUUAAAAUGUGAGACAUAGUCAAAUUUGUUUUUCUUCUUUGAACAACUUAUGGGUUGUAUGAGCGAGCGAUAUCUCCUUUUUGGCAGUAAGUUUUACUUGUACAAGUGAGUGCUAUCUCGUGAGAUUGAGUAAUGAAGUGAGCAUUACUGAGCUUCUUCAAGCUCAAACUCAUGUGGAAUCACAUAUUCAAGUUCAUGAACUCCAUGGGACUAAAAUAUGCAAUUCAGUAGGACACUGCCCAACCUGUAACUCUUCCAAGCUUGUUGCUGUACUCCAAGUGCAACCUUUUAAAGCUCUUCUCAUUUCUGCCUCAUGUACAUCCUAGUUUACUCUAGCUUCUUUGCAAAACAGGAAUUGAACCAUGUUCACCAAGGCACGAUGAAGAGAGGCAGAUUCUUUGUGAGCCUCUUCAGAGACCAGAAUAUAGAGGUUAACAGAGAACUGAAGGAAUGCUUCUGUGCCUUCAUCUAUAAAAUAUCUCUCUUUUAGGAAAUCUGCAUAGAAAGAGUUGAAAAGACAAUAACCUUAUUAAAGAGACUGGCUAUAGCAAUAUAAGGGUGUGGAAAUUGUCCCAGCCAUUGUAUUGUUGUCAUUCCCUUUUUGGAAAUCUUUGCAGUUUAAUGAUCAUUAGGCUCAUCACUGUUGUACCUUAUGCAGCUUCUUUGCUUCUCGGUAUGAAUGACGGUAGCAGAUCUGACAAGACAAGUAGGCAGAGAUCAAAUAGUCCUUUCUCAUUUCCUCGCCAAAAACGUUCUGUCAGGCCGCGGUUGUAUCUUUCUAUUGACUCGGACUCUGAAUAGAGGAACUGGAACUUUUUCUUUAUGAGAACUAUCUUUUGGGCUUUUUUUAAUUUUAUUUCCCUGGGAUGGAAAGCAUAUCCUGGAGUAAUCUUAUGAUUGACUCAGAGAAUCUAGUUUUGGGUUUAUAAUUUAAAGAAUGCUGACAGACAUUUGGUCCCUGACAAGAGAAGAAGUGUUAGAUGCGGCACAAGGCACCUCGGGGAGAACAAAGUGUUAGAUGCGGCACAAGGCACCCGGGGUAGAACAAAGCGAUUUAAUACACAAGGCAUCCAAAUAGACUGCAUGAUUGCAAAACUUUUGCUGGCGCCUGCAAAAAUUUUCCCUUGGUUUGUAAGCUUGAGGCCUUUUAUCAUUUUUCAGUAUCCUGUUCACGUUUCAGCUGU
Molecule: long non-coding RNA, 4656 nt
Filed under: Prunus persica (peach)
Lineage: Eukaryota; Viridiplantae; Streptophyta; Magnoliopsida; Rosales; Rosaceae
Description: long non-coding RNA (PPER_LNC005710)
Source: RNAcentral